GGGAAUUCGAUUAGUUUGAUCAUGGCUCAGAGCGAACGCUGGCGGCAGGCUUAAUACAUGCAAGUCGAGCGCCCGUAGCAAUACGGGAGCGGCAGACGGGUGAGUAACACGUGGGAACAUGCCCUUCGGUUCGGAAUAACUCAGGGAAACUUGAGCUAAUACCGGAUACGCCCUUACGGGGAAAGAUUUAUCGCCGAAGGAUUGGCCCGCGUCCGAUUAGCUAGUUGGUGAGGUAAUGGCUCACCAAGGCGACGAUCGGUAGCUGGUCUGAGAGGAUGAUCAGCCACACUGGGACUGAGACACGGCCCAGACUCCUACGGGAGGCAGCAGUAGGGAAUAUUGGACAAUGGGGGAAACCCUGAUCCAGCCAUGCCGCGUGGGUGAUGAAGGCCCUAGGGUUGUAAAGCCCUUUCGGCGGGGAAGAUAAUGACGGUACCCGCAGAAGAAGCCCCGGCUAACUUCGUGCCAGCAGCCGCGGUAAUACGAAGGGGGCUAGCGUUGCUCGGAAUCACUGGGCGUAAAGCGCACGUAGGCGGAUCUUUAAGUCAGGGGUGAAAUCCCGGAGCUCAACUCCGGAACUGCCUUUGAUACUGAGGAUCUUGAGUCCGGGAGAGGUGAGUGGAACUGCGAGUGUAGAGGUGAAAUUCGUAGAUAUUCGCAAGAAC
RNAcentral lists this ribosomal RNA (665 nucleotides) under uncultured bacterium. RNAcentral describes it as "bacterial SSU rRNA". It matches the Rfam family "Bacterial small subunit ribosomal RNA", at positions 1 to 707 of the family's 1533-position model. The record is from RNAcentral.